GAGAUCUGGAGAUGGAGGCAUCUGCUAAUGGACUAAGUUUCAGGAGGCGUUGAUUACACACUUCACGCGGAAAUAAUUGCUAAUCUUCAACAGUGCUAAUUGAGUGAUAAUUCUGCCCUUUCAAGGUGAUUUAACCUGUCAGAGGCCCAGGCUUUUAGGAAGAUUACGUGAGAUAAUACAAGCUCUAUUGGGGGAAAUGGAGAGAAGUCAAAUACCUUUCUUGGUUGAAAGGAGAGGUUUCAUUUUGGUGUGAUGCCUGCCAUAGACUCACCCACUCGGGGCCUGGCUGGGGAGUGAAUGCUGGGGUGGGUGGAGGUUUCUCAUUUCAAUCCCUGAGGGCCUCAGGCCUUCUCCCC
This 356-nucleotide long non-coding RNA is filed under the name Pan troglodytes (chimpanzee). RNAcentral's name for it is "long non-coding RNA NONPTRT012393". Lineage: Eukaryota; Metazoa; Chordata; Mammalia; Primates; Hominidae. The record is from RNAcentral.